AUACGUAGGUGGCAAGCGUUGUCCGGAUUUAUUGGGCGUAAAGCGAGCGCAGGCGGUCUCUUAAGUCUGAUGUGAAAGCCCCCGGCUCAACCGGGGAGGGUCAUUGGAAACUGGGAGACUUGAGUGCAGAAGAGGAGUGUGGAAUUCCAUGUGUAGCGGUGACAUGCGUAGAUAUAUGGAGGAACACCAGUGGCGAAGGCGGCUCUCUGGUCUGUAACUGACGCUGAGGCUCGAAAGCGUGGGGAGCAAACAGGAUUAGAUACCCUGGUAGUCCACGCCGUAAACGAUGAGUGCUAAGUGUUGGAGGGUUUCCGCCCUUCAGUGCUGCAGCUAACGCAUUAAGCACUCCGCCUGGGGAGUACGGCCGCAAGGCUGAAACUCAAAUGAAUUGACGGGG
Molecule: ribosomal RNA, 397 nt
Filed under: uncultured bacterium
Lineage: Bacteria
Description: partial 16S ribosomal RNA
Rfam family: Bacterial small subunit ribosomal RNA
Source: RNAcentral